AUUGAACGCUGGCGGAAUGCUUUACACAUGCAAGUCGAACGGCAGCACGGACUUCGGUCUGGUGGCGAGUGGCGAACGGGUGAGUAAUGUAUCGGAACGUGCCCAGUCGUGGGGGAUAACGUAGUGAAAAUUACGCUAAUACCGCAUACGAUCUAUGGAUGAAAGCGGGGGAUCGCAAGACCUUGCGCGAUUGGAGCGGCCGAUAUCAGAUUAGGUCGUUGGUGGGGUAAAGGCUCACCAAGCCAACGAUCUGUAGCUGGUCUGAGAGGACGACCAGCCACACCGGAACUGAGACACGGUCCAGACUCCUACGGGAGGCAGCAGUGGGGAAUUUUGGACAAUGGGCGCAAGCCUGAUCCAGCCAUUCCGCGUGCAGGAUGAAGGCCCUCGGGUUGUAAACUGCUUUUGUACAGAACGAAAAGGUUUCUACUAAUACUAGGAGCUCAUGACGGUACUGUAAGAAUAAGCACCGGCUAACUACGUGCCAGCCGCCGCCGUAA
RNAcentral lists this ribosomal RNA (500 nucleotides) under uncultured bacterium. RNAcentral describes it as "partial 16S ribosomal RNA". It matches the Rfam family "Bacterial small subunit ribosomal RNA", at positions 30 to 523 of the family's 1533-position model. The record is from RNAcentral.